CACGUAGGCGGAUAUUUAAGUCAAAAGUGAAAUCCCAGAGCUCAACUCUGGAACUGCCUUUGAUACUGGGUACCUAGAGUAUGGAAGAGGUAAGUGGAAUUCCGAGUGUAGAGGUGAAAUUCGUAGAUAUUCGGAGGAACACCAGUGGCGAAGGCGGCUUACUGGUCCAUUACUGACGCUGAGGUGCGAAAGCGUGGGGAGCGAACG
This 207-nucleotide ribosomal RNA is filed under the name uncultured bacterium. RNAcentral describes it as "partial 16S ribosomal RNA". It matches the Rfam family "Bacterial small subunit ribosomal RNA", at positions 568 to 774 of the family's 1533-position model. The record is from RNAcentral.